UUUUGGUUUCAUCAAGAUCAAGACCAAAUAGUGUUGGAAGUGAGGGGAAGGUGAUUGUAGGUGUUUCUGGAUAAGAUAUUACUGGUUCAGGUUCAAAGUUGAAUAUGCCUUCGGGAGUAACCUCAGAAAUAUGGUCUCCAGAAUCUCUCGAAGGAUAUGUCAUGGGGGUUGUUCUAUUUGUAUUUUCUGUGUAAGGAGUAGAAACAAAUGGUGGUGGAGUGGGUGAAGUUUG
This 232-nucleotide long non-coding RNA is filed under the name Lathyrus oleraceus (garden pea). Its description in RNAcentral is "Pisum sativum (pea) long non-coding RNA (PSAT_LNC022419)". Lineage: Eukaryota; Viridiplantae; Streptophyta; Magnoliopsida; Fabales; Fabaceae. The record is from RNAcentral.